GCGGAAGUGGUGGAAUUGGUAGACACGCCAGCUUGAGGGGCUGGUGUCUUAACAGACGUGCGGGUUCAAGUCCCGCUUUCCGCACCA
RNAcentral lists this transfer RNA (87 nucleotides) under Glaciecola sp. RNAcentral describes it as "tRNA-Leu". It matches the Rfam family "tRNA". From Rfam's summary of the family: Transfer RNA (tRNA) molecules are approximately 80 nucleotides in length. Their secondary structure includes four short double-helical elements and three loops (D, anti-codon, and T loops). Further hydrogen bonds mediate the characteristic L-shaped molecular structure. tRNAs have two regions of fundamental functional importance: the anti-codon, which is responsible for specific mRNA codon recognition, and the 3' end, to which the tRNAs corresponding amino acid is attached (by aminoacyl-tRNA synthetases). tRNAs cope with the degeneracy of the genetic code in two manners: having more than one tRNA (with a specific anti-codon) for a particular amino acid; and 'wobble' base-pairing, i.e. permitting non-standard base-pairing at the 3rd anti-codon position. RNAcentral also lists the same sequence under 2 other names. The record is from RNAcentral. Lineage: Bacteria; Pseudomonadati; Pseudomonadota; Gammaproteobacteria; Alteromonadales; Alteromonadaceae.